Molecule: ribosomal RNA, 526 nt
Filed under: uncultured bacterium
Lineage: Bacteria
Description: bacterial SSU rRNA
Rfam family: Bacterial small subunit ribosomal RNA
Source: RNAcentral
GAAAGCGAUGCUAAUACCGGAUAACAUCUCAAUAACUCCGGUCUUUGAGAUCAAAGGUGGCCUCUCCAUGGAAGCUAUUGUUUGGAGAUGAGCCCGCGUACCAUUAGCUUGUUGGUAGGGUAACGGCCUACCAAGGCUACGAUGGUUAGCUGGUCUGAGAGGAUGAUCAGCCACACUGGAACUGACACACGGUCCAGACUCCUACGGGAGGCAGCAGUGAGGAAUUUUGCGCAAUGGGGGAAACCCUGACGCAGCAACGCCGCGUGAGUGAUGAAGGCUUUCGGGUCGUAAAGCUCUGUCAAGUGAGAAGAACCUGCCCUUUGCUAAUAUCACUGGGCACUGACGGUAUCACUGAAGGAAGCACCGGCUAACUCCGUGCCAGCAGCCGCGGUAAUACGGAGGGUGCAAGCGUUAUUCGGAAUCACUGGGCGUAAAGAGCGCGUAGGCGGUUUCUAAAGUCAGAUGUGAAAGCCCGGGGCUCAACCCCCGGAAGUGCAUUUGAAACUUAGGGACUUGAGUAUUGGGA